Molecule: ribosomal RNA, 367 nt
Filed under: Tardigrada environmental sample
Lineage: Eukaryota; Metazoa; Tardigrada
Description: bacterial SSU rRNA
Rfam family: Eukaryotic small subunit ribosomal RNA
Source: RNAcentral
AAUUCUAGAGCUUAUACACGCAAAAAAGCUCCGACCUUUUGGGAAAGAGCGCAUUUAUUAGACCAAAACCAAUCGGGCUUCGGCCUGAGCUGUGGUGACUCUGAAUAACUAAGUCGAUCGCACGGUCUUUGUACCGGCGACGCAUUUUUCAAAUGUCUGCCUUAUCAACUUUCGAUGGUAGUUUAUGUGCCUACCAUGGUUAUAACGGGUAACGGAGAAUAAGGGUUCGACUCCGGAGAGGGAGCCUGAGAAACGGCUACCACAUCCAAGGAAGGCAGCAGGCGCGCAAAUUACCCAAUGUCGGCAGGAGGAGGUAGUGACGAAAAAUAACGCUUUAGUGGUUAGGGGCCCGCCAUCGGAAUGGGAC